AAGGAGAAGAAGAUGGAAAUAAUCCCUCAUUACUCAACAAAUAUUCAUCGGCUGUCUCCAUGUUCUAGAAACAAUUAUAGAGGCUUGGAAUAUAGCAGUGAGCUAUUAACCAAGAGUUCAGAGACAAAGAAUCACCUCUUUGCCUAGAGUAUCCAAACUGUAUAUGCUACCCACCACCUAGUCACUUAAUCACCAUCUUCGUCAUCAGAUCAUCUCUUGUAGUAUCAUGGGGCUGGUAUUCAAAUAAUCCUUGCUUUAUUUAAUAAUGAUUCCAGAGCAGAAGAAUAGUGGUACUGGUAGUUUGGAUGUGCCAUGCAGAAGGAUUCAGGGGAGCUGAGGAGCAAGCAGCAAAAGAGGAUGAGAUGGAGUGACAACAGAAAAAGGAGAAAACUAGGAGAAUGAAAUUCCAGAAGCCCUACUGAGAAGACCAUUUCUUCUCUGAGCAAAAAUAUGAAGACAUUGCUGUGUAAUUUGUAUUUAAUUGUAGGGUUCACGUGCCA
Molecule: long non-coding RNA, 500 nt
Organism: Heterocephalus glaber (naked mole-rat)
Lineage: Eukaryota; Metazoa; Chordata; Mammalia; Rodentia; Bathyergidae
Source: RefSeq, a predicted model, not a curated record